This 563-nucleotide long non-coding RNA is filed under the name Glycine max (soybean). RNAcentral describes it as "long non-coding RNA (GMAX_LNC003017)". Lineage: Eukaryota; Viridiplantae; Streptophyta; Magnoliopsida; Fabales; Fabaceae. The record is from RNAcentral.
CUCCUAAUUUUCCAACGCCUCCAAAAAUACCCUCUCCUGUGUACACUCCCCCAAAAGCUCCUUCCCCUAGUAACAAUCCACCCUAUGUUCCUACACCUCCAAAAACACCUUCUCCUUCUUAUAAUCCUCCUAAUGUUCCCACUCCUCCCAAAACACCUUCACCUAUUUACACUCCACCAAAUGUUCCUACUCCUCCAAAAACACCAUCUCCUGCUUAUAGUCCUCCAAAUGCUCCUUCCCCUCAUAACCAACCAAAUGUUCCUACUCCUCCAAAAACACCAUCUCCUGCUUAUAGUCCUCCAAAUGCUCCUUCCCCUCAUAACCAACCUCCCUAUGUUCCUACACCUCCAAAAACACCUUCUCCUUCUUAUAAUCCUCCUAAUGUUCCCACUCCUCCCAAAACACCUUCACCUAUUUACACUCCACCAAAUGUUCCUACUCCUCCAAAAACACCAUCUCCUGCUUAUAGUCCUCCAAAUGCUCCUUCCCCUCAUAACCAACCUCCCUAUGUUCCUACACCUCCAAAAACACCUUCUCCUUCUUAUAAUCCUCCUAAUGUUNNN